Molecule: ribosomal RNA, 468 nt
Filed under: uncultured bacterium
Lineage: Bacteria
Description: partial 16S ribosomal RNA
Rfam family: Bacterial small subunit ribosomal RNA
Source: RNAcentral
GACGAACGCUGGCGGCGUGCUUAACACAUGCAAGUCGAACGGAAAGGCCCUGCUUUUGUGGGGUGCUCGAGUGGCGAACGGGUGAGUAACACGUGAGUAACCUGCCCUUGACUUUGGGAUAACUUCAGGAAACUGGGGCUAAUACCGGAUAGGAUCUCCUGCUGCAUGGUGGGGGUUGGAAAGUGUCGGCGGUUGGGGAUGGACUCGCGGCUUAUCAGCUUGUUGGUGGGGUAGUGGCUUACCAAGGCUUUGACGGGUAGCCGGCCUGAGAGGGUGACCGGCCACAUUGGGACUGAGAUACGGCCCAGACUCCUACGGGAGGCAGCAGUGGGGAAUAUUGCACAAUGGGCGGAAGCCUGAUGCAGCAACGCCGCGUGCGGGAUGACGGCCUUCGGGUUGUAAACCGCUUUCGCCUGUGACGAAGCGUGCGUGACGGUAAUGGGUAAAGAAGCACCGGCUAACUACGUG